Molecule: long non-coding RNA, 1190 nt
Organism: Motacilla alba alba
Lineage: Eukaryota; Metazoa; Chordata; Aves; Passeriformes; Motacillidae
Exons: 2
Source: RefSeq, a predicted model, not a curated record
CCAAAAUAAAAACAUAUUUUUGUUAAUCAUGAAAGGGGCAAGAGUAGAAAAGUACUAAUCACGGGAAAUUUGAAUGAAAACAAGAUAGAGAUGGUCUCUGAGUUGUCAUCCUUUCAAUAUUACACCAACAUUUUAAUGGGUGAAAAAUUAAUUUAUAUCAGAUACCUAUAGUGGAAAGUGCACUGGGAGAAGUUUCUAUAAACUUGCUGUGUCAGCCAGAAUGAUUGGCACAUGAUGCCCCCUGCCUUUCUUCUUGCAUAUACUUGCUUCAUCCUGGAAGGCAUUCUAGGCUGCAAGAGAAUCUGAAACAAGGUAUUACUUGUAAUCAGUCACGAAUCCUUGGCAAAAAAAAAAAAAAAAGAACAGUGAGUUUCUUGCUUUAACUUCUUUUUUCUUUUGGUGCUGUGUCUUCAGGAAGGGAGAAGCAUUUAUUCAGGCCUUGUAUAAAUACAAAGUGCUUCCUAUUCCCAGAAGUAAUAAAUGCUCAUUCUGAACCAAUUUAUUGUAGUCAGCCUGAAAUGAAUAGCUUCUUCUUAAUGCCAAAAUCUUCAUUUCCGAAAUCAACUCCACAUCCUCCAGAAGAGAUCCUUUUGUUGCAGUGAGAUGUUGAUCUGCAUGCUCUCAUUUGAAAUUACAUUGCUUCUAAUGUGCCCAAACUUUCAGAAGUUAGAAUCAAAUCCAGAGAUGAAUUUUUUUGCUUGCUGCUUUGAGUUAAUGUCCUGGUUUCACCUGGAAUAAGGUUUCUGUUCUAGUAGCUGGUACAGGGCUAUUUUUUGGAUUUAGUAUGAUAUUGAUGAUGACACACUUAUGCUUUGUUGUAGCUAGGUAGUGCUUACUCUACGUCAAGGACUUUCCAGUUUCCCAUGUUCUGCCAGUGAGCAGGUGGACAAGAAGCUGAGAGGGAACAUGGACAGGAAAGAUGACCCAAACUGGCCAAAGAGAUAUUCCAUGCCAGAGAAUGUCACAUUUAGUAUAUAAAGCGUGAAGAAUGGCCAGGAGCUACUAAUUGGUCAGUGCUUGGGGAUGGACCUGGUGUCAGUCUCAAGUGCUGGGUGAUUGCAUAUGCAUGGCUUCUUGGACUUUAUUUAUAGCUCUUUUUUUGGUGUUUCCUCCCUUUUUAUUAUAAUUACUGUUGUUAUCUCAUUUUUUUUUAAUUUUAUCUCAAUUAUUAAACUGUUCCUAACCUAUAA